This 88-nucleotide transfer RNA is filed under the name Micavibrio sp. Its description in RNAcentral is "tRNA-Ser". It matches the Rfam family "tRNA". Rfam says of the family: Transfer RNA (tRNA) molecules are approximately 80 nucleotides in length. The record is from RNAcentral. Lineage: Bacteria; Pseudomonadati; Bdellovibrionota; Bdellovibrionia; Bdellovibrionales; Pseudobdellovibrionaceae.
GGAGAGGUGGCCGAGCGGUUGAAGGCGCUCGCCUGGAAAGCGGGUAUACGGUAACGUAUCGUGAGUUCGAAUCUCAUCCUCUCCGCCA